Molecule: ribosomal RNA, 415 nt
Filed under: uncultured Stenotrophomonas sp.
Lineage: Bacteria; Pseudomonadati; Pseudomonadota; Gammaproteobacteria; Lysobacterales; Lysobacteraceae
Description: bacterial SSU rRNA
Rfam family: Bacterial small subunit ribosomal RNA
Source: RNAcentral
UGAGGAAUACAUCGGAAUCUACUUUUUCGUGGGGGAUAACGUAGGGAAACUUACGCUAAUACCGCAUACGACCUACGGGUGAAAGCAGGGGAUCUUCGGACCUUGCGCGAUUGAAUGAGCCGAUGUCGGAUUAGCUAGUUGGCGGGGUAAAGGCCCACCAAGGCGACGAUCCGUAGCUGGUCUGAGAGGAUGAUCAGCCACACUGGAACUGAGACACGGUCCAGACUCCUACGGGAGGCAGCAGUGGGGAAUAUUGGACAAUGGGCGCAAGCCUGAUCCAGCCAUACCGCGUGGGUGAAGAAGGCCUUCGGGUUGUAAAGCCCUUUUGUUGGGAAAGAAAUCCAGCUGGUUAAUACCCGGUUGGGAUGACGGUACCCAAAGAAUAAGCACCGGCUAACUUCGUGCCAGCAGCCGC